Molecule: long non-coding RNA, 1865 nt
Organism: Varroa destructor (honeybee mite)
Lineage: Eukaryota; Metazoa; Arthropoda; Arachnida; Mesostigmata; Varroidae
Source: RefSeq, a predicted model, not a curated record
AAAGAGUCCAAAAUUAUGCGCCGCCUAACCCAAUGAAUUAGCUUUUUUCAUAUCUACAGCUGUUAAUGCUGCUACUUUGUGGGCAGUUGAUCGCCUCACAUCCCCGUUCCCUGUUUCCUCUUCCUCAGCUGACGAAGCUGUUGGCGUAAUUCGAGUCGCGGUUGGUUUAUCUAUGGGCAGUAGCCGACGUGACGUGACUUGACAGACGAAGAUUAGGGCUGGGCAGACCGAUGCUAUCUCCUCUGCUGGCCUUGCUGCUUACCUACCCCCCGGUUCGAUUGGGUACGCCGCCGCGGGCAGGCAUGUCCAAAAGAAAAGAAGAAGUGUCAAAGACAAAACGUGGCACGCUGCUGCUGCUGCUAUCCAAAUAACCUGUUUGCUUUGAGACACGACGCCAUGGCAGAAUGAACAGUCGUCCCUUCUGAGCCCACCGAUACAUCAUGAACAACAAGCACAGCCAGCUAUAAGGCACAACAAAGUAACCUAACAACAGAUUUGCAUAUCUGCGAAAGACCGACGGCUUCGACAGCGGGCAGAGCGUUGUCCAUUCAGAGAGCUCUGCAGAAGAAGCCCUGCACCGCAGCAUGAACUCAACUGCAUAAGUGGUCGCCAAGAGGAGCAGGCGUUGGUGGGGAAAUCUCUAUCCUACCGUUACCUCUACCGUCAGUGUUCCGUAGGACAACUCACGCCAGAGCCGCUUCAUAUUCAUGGCAUUGGCGUUCAUGGCAGUGUAGGAGGCUGCAUGCCAUGUUGAGGAUGGCAGACUUGUGAUUGGCAGGCAACGAGGGCAAUUGAGUACCAUAGCAUAGUCUUUCGUCUAUAGGAGAAAGACUCUGACUCUUCUUCCGAUAUGGUCUCUUGGUGAUGCAGCAGGCCCACAGUAACACAGGUUCAGUCAGACUAAGUGCCUAUAGGUGCAUCCCGGCUUAGCCAUCGUCCAUCUGUAUAUAUAUGUGUGAUUCGAACAGCGUCAGCCUGGUGGUAUCUUGCCUUGAAAAUGAAUUAAUAUAAAGAAGGUUAUCUGGCCAAAAAGGGCGCAGGGUGUGACCCCUUCCACCCCCGACCGCUAGUGAAGCUCUGGCUAAUCAUCAAUUAUCAAACCUAUCCGAGUCAUAUAUCGUUAUUUAUAGAAAAUCCGUUUCUAGCAACGUUUGCAUAGGCGAUAUUUACAGAAGUUGUCUAUGUUACGCACGAUCACUUUUUUGUACACAUAGAAAUUAUUAUACACAUAUAUAUAUGCAAGAGUGCGUCAUGUGUUUUUGUAAUAAUGACAGGCGCGUCAAUGCAUUAUAGUUUUGUUUAAAAUCUAUAACCCCUACUUACCAAAAGUAAAAUGUUAUUUUGGGCGGAUUUUUAAACUUUUAACCUAAAAAUAUAACAGCCGAAACUUCAGAAUGAGUAGCCAGGAAGAAUAGCUCUCUUUAAGAAAAAACGUUUUGUUGAGGUUAAAAGGGAAUCAGUUUAGUUCUCUGUAAGGACUUUUUAUUUCUACAUCUUCUGCACGGUUUAUAGUGUAGACAUAUAGGAACGUUAGGGGUAAUGCUGCUACGAGACAAAGAGUUAGAUGCGAUGUUCAUUAUAGUCCGUAGAAUCUAUUCGCGUUUGCAUCCAUUGCUUUAUCAUGACAGUUUAGGGAAACUGACCUUGAAGCCGAUGCAUGAUGGUACUGCAUGUAGGGAGUCACAUAAAUUGGCUGCGAGUACUUUCUUCUUCUUCUUCUUCUUCUUCCAGAGAAGAAAAAACAUUAGACAAAAGCGCUAAAGUAACGGUUAUCAAGAAGAAAAAAGAAAUGUAAUACAGAUGCAUAUGUUACGAAGAAGAAGGAUUAGGUUGAGCAGGAAUAAUUUCAGAUAUCGAAGAAUUAA